GAUGAACGCUGGCGGCGUGCCUAAUACAUGCAAGUCGAGCGAACAGACGAGAAGCUUGCUUCUCUGACGUUAGCGGCGGACGGGUGAGUAACACGUGGAUAACCUACCUAUAAGACUGGGAUAACUUCGGGAAACCGGAGCUAAUACCGGAUAAUAUUUUGAACCGCAUGGUUCAAAAGUGAAAGACGGUCUUGCUGUCACUUAUAGAUGGAUCCGCGCUGCAUUAGCUAGUUGGUAAGGUAACGGCUUACCAAGGCAACGAUGCAUAGCCGACCUGAGAGGGUGAUCGGCCACACUGGAACUGAGACACGGUCCAGACUCCUACGGGAGGCAGCAGUAGGGAAUCUUCCGCAAUGGGCGAAAGCCUGACGGAGCAACGCCGCGUGAGUGAUGAAGGUCUUCGGAUCGUAAAACUCUGUUAUUAGGGAAGAACAUAUGUGUAAGUAACUGUGCACAUCUUGACGGUACCUAAUCAGAAAGCCACGGCUAACUACGUG
This 497-nucleotide ribosomal RNA is filed under the name uncultured bacterium. RNAcentral's name for it is "partial 16S ribosomal RNA". It matches the Rfam family "Bacterial small subunit ribosomal RNA", at positions 28 to 507 of the family's 1533-position model. The record is from RNAcentral.